GGUCAGAUCCAAUAAGACAAAGCAAAGUUUGCAGCUUUUUUUGUUUCUUUGGGGAAACAAUUCAAUCAUUUUGAAAUUAAAUUUUUGUAGAACAUAGGUUGAACUUAGGUCUCGGCAGCAAUUUAAACCUAUUUAUAUUUUAAAUAAUAAAAGUAUUCUUUUGGAUUCCCUAUUUAAACUAUAAAUCAUGCUGCUAUAAAGACACAUGCACACGUAUGUUUAUUGAGGCACUAUUCACAAUAGCAAAGACUUGGAACCAACCCACAAGUUUUCAGGUCAUUUAUUUUAAGGAGGAAAAAUACAGUUUGCUAUUUUAAAAUGCAAAUACUUUAACAAGAUUUUGAUUGUUGGUGUAGUGAAUUUAAGAGUUGUUCAGGGAAGUGGAAGUGUUAAAGGAGGACAUUUUUCCUUAAGAUAAGGGUGGUGUAAGUAAGUCCAAGUAGUAAUCAAUAUGCAAAUUUUGACUAGUUUAUUACAAUAGUAAUUGUUCUUUACAAUAAAAUACUUAAAAUCUAUGUAAAGUAGAUUGCUAGUGAGAAUUGAUAAAACCUAGUAACGCCUUCUGUAGCUUCCUUUGUUAAUAAUAUACAGUGGCUCAUGGGUGUAAUCUCAGCACUUUGGGAGGCCGGGGCAGGUGGAUCACUUGAGGUCAGGAGUUCAAGACCCAGCCUGGCCAACGUGGUGAAACCCGCAUCUCUACUUAAAAUACAAAAACUAGCGGAGUGUGGUGGUACAUGCCUGUAGUUCCAGAUACUUGGGAGGCCAAAGCUGGAGAAUUGCUUGAACCCAGGAGGCAGAGGUUGCAGUGAGCCAAGAUCACCCCACUGCAUUCCAGCCUGAGUGAGACUCCCUCUCAAAAAAAAAAAAAAAAAAAAAAAGAAUGCCAUGUAUUGUUUUGAUCAUAUAUACAAGUGUCUUGGACUUUUCUUUCCCUGCCAAUAAAGAGUGGGUUCUGACUGUCUUUUUGAGAAAAUACUCCAGUAUCGUCAGUCUACCUUACUUGGCUUUAGUUAUUCACUGCUCUUAAAGACUAAAUGAUUGGCUCCACUGAGGCGUAAAGCAUGUUAUUCCACCAUCUGGCCUCAGACAUAAUCAUAUAUUUUUCCUUUGCUUCUUUUCUAGUGGGCUUAAAAACCAGGUCAUUCCCUUGUAAUUCUAAUUUUUCUGUUUUUAUGAUCAUUAAUUUCACAGACUUGUUCCUUUUUGCCUUUUCCACCAGUUUGCUUCAGUGUCCCCAACAGUUCCUGAAUUCUUGAAAACUCCUCCAACUGCAGAUCAGCCUCCCCCACGGCCUGCAGCUCCUGUCCUCCCCACAAACACUGUGUCCUCAGCAAAGCCUGGCCCAGCACUGGUGAAGGUGGGUACUUUGGAUACACCCUGGGUUUGGUGGCUUUAUUUGUGACUCUGUCUAUAACCCUGUGAAUGGAAGACAAAGGCAUUUAUCCAACUUGCUCAGCCUGCCU
This 1463-nucleotide long non-coding RNA is filed under the name Homo sapiens (human). RNAcentral's name for it is "HSALNT0227956". The record is from RNAcentral. Lineage: Eukaryota; Metazoa; Chordata; Mammalia; Primates; Hominidae.